Salvelinus sp. IW2-2015 is the source of this 502-nucleotide non-coding RNA. The record is from RefSeq and is a predicted model, not a curated record. Lineage: Eukaryota; Metazoa; Chordata; Actinopteri; Salmoniformes; Salmonidae.
GGUUAGGAAUAGGAUAGGGUACAGGUUAGGAUAGUAGGGUACAGGUUGGGAUAGGAUACAGGUUAUGGUUACAGGUUAAGGAUAGGGUACAGGUUAUGGUUACAGGUUAGGAUAGGGUACAGGUUAGGAUAGGGUACAGGUUAGGAUAGGAUACAGGUUAUGGUUACAGGUUAGGAUAGGAUACAGGUUAUGGUUACAGGUUGGGAUAGGGUACAGGUUAGGGUUACAGUGGACAGGUGUAGGGUAUAUGUUGGGGUGCGGUUAGGGUACAGGUUAGAUUUAGGGUACAGGUUAGAUUUAGGGUACAGGUUAGGGUUACAGUGGACAGGUUAGAUUCAGGGUACAUGUUAGGUUAGGGUUAGAGUGUAGGAAGGGUACAGGUUAGGGUACUGGGUACAGGUUAGAUUUAGGGUACAGGUUAGGGUUACAGUGGAGGAAAGAGGACAGCUCACAUAUAAUUUAAUGUUGUUAUCCAAUUGUCUUAAAUAACCAACUUCCUCAU